RNAcentral lists this ribosomal RNA (243 nucleotides) under uncultured bacterium. RNAcentral describes it as "partial 16S ribosomal RNA". It matches the Rfam family "Bacterial small subunit ribosomal RNA", at positions 333 to 591 of the family's 1533-position model. The record is from RNAcentral.
UCGUGCCUACGGGAGGCAGCAGUGGGGAAUAUUGCACAAUGGGGGGAACCCUGAUGCGGCGACGCCGCGUGGGCGAGGAAGUAUUUCGGUAUGUAAAGCCCUAUCGGCAGGGAAGAAGAAAUGACGGUACCUGAAUAAGAAGCACCGGCUAAAUACGUGCCAGCAGCCGCGGUAAUCCGUAUGGUGCAAGCGUUAUCCGGAUUUACUGGGCGUAAAGGGAGCGCAGGCGGCGCGCCAAGUCUG